GACGAACGCUGGCGGCGUGCUUAACACAUGCAAGUCGAACGGAAAGGCCUGUCCUUCCUUGUGUUGGACGGGUACUCGAGUGGCGAACGGGUGAGUAACACGUGAGUGAUCUGCCCCCAACUUGGGUAUAAGCCUGGGAAACUGGGUCUAAUUCCCGAUAGGACUGCAGGGUGGUGCCUGUGGUGGAAAACGAUUUUCUAGUGGUUGGGGAUGAGCUCGCGGCCUACCAGCUUGUUGGUGGGGUAAUGGCCUACCAAGGCGGCGACGGGUAGCCGGCCUGGGAGGGUGGACGGCCACAUUGGGACUGAGAUACGGCCCAGACUCCUACGGGAGGCAGCAGUGGGGAAUAUUGCACAAUGGGCGGAAGCCUGAUGCAGCGACGCCGCGUGGGGGAUGACGGCCUUCGGGUGGUAAACUCCUUUCGACCGCGAGGAAGCCGCCUGGUUGGAAGGGUGGUGACGGUAGUGGUAGAAGAAGCACCGGCUAACUACGUG
Molecule: ribosomal RNA, 494 nt
Filed under: uncultured bacterium
Lineage: Bacteria
Description: partial 16S ribosomal RNA
Rfam family: Bacterial small subunit ribosomal RNA
Source: RNAcentral